This 253-nucleotide ribosomal RNA is filed under the name uncultured bacterium. RNAcentral describes it as "partial 16S ribosomal RNA". It matches the Rfam family "Bacterial small subunit ribosomal RNA", at positions 524 to 776 of the family's 1533-position model. The record is from RNAcentral.
CACGUAGGGCGCAAGCGUUGUCCGGAAUUAUUGGGCGUAAAGAGCUCGUAGGCGGUCUGUUACGUCUGCUGUGAAAACCCUGGGCUUAACCCUGGGCUUGCAGUGGAUACGGGCAGACUAGAGGCAGGUAGGGGAGAAUGGAAUUCCCGGUGUAGCGGUGAAAUGCGCAGAUAUCGGGAGGAACACCGGUGGCGAAGGCGGUUCUCUGGGCCUGUACUGACGCUGAGGAGCGAAAGCGUGGGGAGCGAACAGG